This 265-nucleotide non-coding RNA is filed under the name Morus notabilis. RNAcentral's name for it is "Bacterial small subunit ribosomal RNA". It matches the Rfam family "Bacterial small subunit ribosomal RNA", at positions 950 to 1207 of the family's 1533-position model. The record is from Rfam by way of RNAcentral. Lineage: Eukaryota; Viridiplantae; Streptophyta; Magnoliopsida; Rosales; Moraceae.
CACAAUGCAAAGCGAAGAACCUUACCAAAGCUUGACAUGUCGUGAAUCCUCUUGAAAGAGAGGAGUGCUUUUGGGAACGCGGACAUAGGUAGUGCAUAAUUAUAGUUAGCUCUUGUUGUAAGGUGUUGGACUAAGUCCCGCAACGAGCGCAACCCUCAUAUCCAUAAUUCCUUAAAAAAAAAAAAAAAAAAAAAAAAACUGAGCACGAAUAAUUAAAAAAAGAUGUUGCAAGAAUGAAGUAAUAUGUUAUCAUUUUUCAUAUUGU